RNAcentral lists this non-coding RNA (79 nucleotides) under unclassified sequences. RNAcentral describes it as "RAGATH-18 RNA". It matches the Rfam family "RAGATH-18 RNA". From Rfam's summary of the family: Actinobacteria, Firmicutes, Fusobacteria, Thermotogae (1 example). Nearby to self-cleaving ribozyme genes The record is from Rfam by way of RNAcentral.
ACUGUGGAGUAUACGAGAACUUGUGAGUAGUAUAUUUAAUUUUUAUUAAAUUAUGAAAGCAUAUACGUUGAAGCAGUAA